UUUUUUGUUUUAAGAUUUUAUUUAAAUUUUGAUCUAGGACAUCAUCUCUUGCUGAGUUAGAUUAUGUCCUUAUGUGUAUUUUCACAAAUAUAUCAAUCCCCUUGGCAUAGUUUUAAAAAGUUUGUAUACAAUUUUUAAAGGUUACUUUCAAGUUAGAGUUACAUCAAAAUAUUGGCUAUAUAUUUCCUGUGUUGUACAAUAAAACCUUGAGCUCGUCUUACAAUAGUUUGCAUAUUUGCUCUGUGCAUAUCUAGAAUGCCCUUCUGCUGAUUUUUUCUAAAAUGAGGUAUUGCUGAAGUAAAUAUUAUGUUAAGUUUCACCUGUACAACAUGAUGAUGCACAAUUUUUAAAUGUUAUAUCCCAGUUAUAGUUAUUAUAAAAUAUUGGCUAUAUUCCCUGUGUGGUACUGUAUAUCCUAGUAGCUUAUUUUUACAUGGUAGUUUGCGACAUGUAAUCCCCUACUACUAUCUUGCACCUCCCUCCUCUCCUUGGUAGCCACUAGUUUGUUCUCUACAUCUGAGUCUGUUUCUUUUUUGUUAUAUUCCCUAAUUUGUUUUAUUUUUACAUUUCACGUAUAAGUAAUAUUAUGCAGUAUUUGUCUUCCUGUUUUACUUAUUUCGCUUAGCAAAAUACCCUGAAAUCUAUCCAUGUUGUUGCAAAUGGCAAAAUUUCAUUCUUUAAUUACAGCUGAGUAUAUACACAUGCACACACACACACACAUAUGUAUACAUGCACACAUACAUGCUCUACGUCUUCUUUGUCCAUUCAUCUGUUUCAUCUGUUGGCACACAGGCUGCUUCCAUAUCUUAGCAAUUGUAAAUACUAGGGGGUGUUUAUCUUUUUGAAUUAGUAUUUUGGGUUUGUUUUGUUUUCAAUAUAUAUACUCAGGAGUAGAAUUCCUGGGUUAUAUGGUAAUUCCGUUUUUAGUUUUUUGAAAAACCCUCAUACUAUUUCCCACAUUGGCUGCACCAACUUACAUUCCCACCAACAGUUUAUAGGGGUUCCCUUUUUCCACAUCCUUGUUAACAUAUGUUAUUUGUGUUCUUUUUGGUGAUAGCCAUUCUGACAUGUGUAAGGUGAUAGCCCAUUGUGGUUUGGAUUUGCAUCUCCCAGAUGACUAGUGAUGCUGAACAUCUUCUCAUGGGCCUAUCGGCCAUCCUCAUGUCCUCUUUGGAGAAAUUUCUAUACAGGUCUUCUGUUCAUUUUUUAACUGGCUUGAUUGGAUUUGUUGAUGUUGACUUGUGUCAGUAAUUCAUAUAUUCAUUAUUAAGUCCUUAUUGUUCAUAUCAUUUGCAAAAAAAUUUCUCCCAUUCAGUAGGCUGUCCUUCAUUUUUUUUGUGUGGAUGGUUUUCUUUGCUUUAAAAGUUAAUUANCCCCCAUUUGUUUAUUUUUGCUUUCAUUUCCUUUGCUUUGGGAGACAGAGUCAAAAGAAAAAAUAUUGCUAUAAUUUGUGUCCAAGAGUAUUUUGUCUAUAUUUUCUCUAGGAGAUUUAGGGUUUCCAAUCUAAAAUUUAGGUUUUUUAAUCCAUUUUGAGCUUAUUUAUAUAUGAUGUUAGAGAAUGUUAUAAUAUCAUUAUUUUACAUGUAGCUAAUUUUCUGAACACCAAUUAUUGAUGAAAAUAUCUUUUUUCUGUUGUAUAUUCUUAGUUUCCUUUGUCAUAAACUAAUUGACCAUAAGUGGGUAGAUUUAAGUCUGGGCUCUCUAUCCUGCUCCACUCAUGUAUGUGUAUGCUUUUGUGUCAAUACCACACUGUUUUUAUUAAUCUAGCUUUGUAUUUUAGUCUAAAGCAUG
Molecule: long non-coding RNA, 1791 nt
Filed under: Sus scrofa (pig)
Lineage: Eukaryota; Metazoa; Chordata; Mammalia; Artiodactyla; Suidae
Description: lncRNA (ENSSSCG00030043774.1)
Source: RNAcentral